GUUUUUUUGCUGCCUGCAGCGGUUUUCUGAUGACUUUUGGGCUGGAAAACCGCGAGACUAUCUGGCAACACUGUCUGUGAGGUCCGGACUUUAUUUUGAAGGUGGACUCUGGAGCGCACGCGGGACGUUUGCCACUCUCUGCAGAGGAACAUUUCUGGGAACCCUGCGUGGAAGAAGCGCCAUCAGUGCCCUGUCCCACGAGCAUACCAUGAACCCUCCAGGUCUUUACCCUCCGCCCACCAGCUCCGCACCCAAUGCCUUUGGGAACCAGCCUGCCUACGGGGGCCCAGCGAUGAUCCCCCCACUCAAUGCUGCUGUCCCCACCAUGCCCGGCGGCCUCUCAGGUUAUGAGGGCAUGGGUUCAGGGGGCUACGUUCCUCCCCCCGCCCCC
Molecule: long non-coding RNA, 391 nt
Organism: Oryzias melastigma (Indian medaka)
Lineage: Eukaryota; Metazoa; Chordata; Actinopteri; Beloniformes; Adrianichthyidae
Exons: 3
Source: RefSeq, a predicted model, not a curated record